GGGUAUAGCUCAGUGGUAGAGUGUGUGUUUAGCAUGCACAAGGCCCUGGGUUCAAUCCCCAGUACCUCCA
Molecule: transfer RNA, 70 nt
Filed under: Camelus ferus (Wild Bactrian camel)
Lineage: Eukaryota; Metazoa; Chordata; Mammalia; Artiodactyla; Camelidae
Rfam family: tRNA
About the family: Transfer RNA (tRNA) molecules are approximately 80 nucleotides in length. Their secondary structure includes four short double-helical elements and three loops (D, anti-codon, and T loops). Further hydrogen bonds mediate the characteristic L-shaped molecular structure. tRNAs have two regions of fundamental functional importance: the anti-codon, which is responsible for specific mRNA codon recognition, and the 3' end, to which the tRNAs corresponding amino acid is attached (by aminoacyl-tRNA synthetases). tRNAs cope with the degeneracy of the genetic code in two manners: having more than one tRNA (with a specific anti-codon) for a particular amino acid; and 'wobble' base-pairing, i.e. permitting non-standard base-pairing at the 3rd anti-codon position.
Source: Rfam by way of RNAcentral